This 253-nucleotide ribosomal RNA is filed under the name uncultured bacterium. RNAcentral describes it as "partial 16S ribosomal RNA". It matches the Rfam family "Bacterial small subunit ribosomal RNA", at positions 524 to 776 of the family's 1533-position model. The record is from RNAcentral.
GACGAGGGGUCCUAGCGUUGUUCGGAAUCAUUGGGCGUAAAGCGUGUGUAGGCGGCCAUUCAAGUCAGUUGUGAAAUCCCCGGGCUUAACCCGGGAAGUGCUUCUGAUACUGUUUGGCUUGAGUACUGGAGAGGAUAGUAGAAUUCCUGGUGUAGUGGUGAAAUACGUAGAUAUCAGGAGGAAUACCGGUGGCGAAGGCGGCAUCCUGGACCGACAUUGACGCUGAGGAGCGAAAGCUAGGGGAGCAAACGGG